Daphnia carinata is the source of this 282-nucleotide long non-coding RNA. RefSeq lists it as uncharacterized. The record is from RefSeq and is a predicted model, not a curated record. NCBI's taxonomy places the organism in Eukaryota, Metazoa, Arthropoda, Branchiopoda, Diplostraca, Daphniidae. The transcript has 3 exons.
CAUAAAAGUUUUCUCCUAGCCUGUCAACGAUGUGAUCAUGGAAAACUCUGCUGCGAAUUGAAAACGGCACGAGGUCUGGCACGACUUGAACAAGAUUUCCUACCCACGUUGUCGUAGCAUUGAUGUUCUUCCGGUUUUAAUGAGAUCAAUUCAACGAGGACUUGAUCAUCCGGGGCGUUGUCAAAAGAUGGACCAUUUCAAGUAGCACAGAAACUCGAGUGCAUACAGGUGUGGACGUCACCAACGAACGCACACGACGGAAUCGAGGAGAAAAACAAGGUA